Long non-coding RNA from Hylaeus volcanicus, 1930 nucleotides. RefSeq lists it as uncharacterized. The record is from RefSeq and is a predicted model, not a curated record. The transcript has 3 exons. NCBI's taxonomy places the organism in Eukaryota, Metazoa, Arthropoda, Insecta, Hymenoptera, Colletidae.
UCGGUGACAAAACAUUUCAACUGGUACUCGGCCGCGUCAGGUUGACUAGGUCGUAGCGCUCGACGAUUACAUACAUUCUAAAUAAUUACAAUAAUUAACGAUCAAUUUGCAUCUCUCACUGUCUUAGGUUUCACUCGAGAUCCACGCAAGGUCGCCAAGCACACGUAGCACGCGUGUCUCGUUAUAUCACAAUUCCGAUAUGCGGGUACACCGUACGAACAGCAUGGAACUUUGUCAUGCCUCGCAUACUGCCUAUCCUUACUUGUCAAUUCUAGCACGGUUCCACUUGCUACUAAACGAUAAUGUCGCUGACAAUCACCGAUAACCUGCAUUAUCGAUGUUCGUACGCAUUAUAGUGUUGAAGAUAGCACAGCAUAGCAGUUGAAAAUUGAAAGAAUGAAAUCAAUUUUGUAAUAGCUAUUACAGUGACGGACAAAGGAAAGUGUAAAAGCUGCUUAUUCAUGGAGGUUUAAAAAUAUAUAGUUCCAUUUAAAAAAAAAGGCAAUGAUGGCCUUAAAAUCUCAUAAAAAAAACGAUCCUGGACAAAAUUAUAUUCCGUCAUUGUAAGUACACAUCUAAACAGUGCAACUUUGUCCUAACAUUUUUUUUCACAGAACAACAUAUAUCGAGAUAUUCAAGAUGAACAAAGUUAUUACUACAUUACCAAUAUAAUUAUAAAUAUAUUAUAAUUACCAUUAUAAGUGUCUCUCAAAAUAGUACACCUUUGUCCUGAUAAGUUUCAUCAUAGGACUACGAAUACAAGAAAUAUUCAAGGAACCUUAACGCCAUCAAUCACGAAGUCUUCAUGCUUCAUUUCAACGAAAACGAUGCCAACAGGCUUGCAAGAAGGCCACGUUCGCGUGCAUUAGUGUCUAUGCUAAAACGAAUUAACGACAGUGUCUACAAAUUGUCGACAAACGACUGGCAGGUUAAUGUUUUAUAGCAAACCGGAACAGGAAACAUCAUUGAAGCGUGCAACCACAGCAUCGAUGAGAAAAAGUCGCGAACAACGAGGUUCUUUAACUACCGUCCUUCAGAACACACUACAAAAGACAGAUAAGCACAACACUCUUGCUUUUAUUGUUAUACAAUAUCUAAGUAAUAUCUAAAUAAAUAAGUACACUAUCUAGUUUAUUCAUUAUUUGGGAUAAAAUUGAUCGAUGUCUGAUUUUAGGUAUCUAAUGCCUGUAUGAUGAAUAACCGAUUUAGAAGUUUUAUUAGACAUUAUAAAUGUAAUUUUUUUCAUUCAUUAUUCAGAAUAAAAUUUACACAAUUCUGUUUUCAGAUGUCAAUUGUUAGUCGAAUAAAUAAUAACUUCAAAAAAGUAAAAAAAUUACGCCAAGUACAUGAAAAAGUGGAGGACUCAAGGAGUUAUCAUUGAAAAAUAGAAGAUCCCCAUAAAAAACUACAAGAAAAUAGAAAAAGAUAUGAAAUCGAAAUAAGCUGCCAGAUGAUUUGCCUAGAUUUCCGCGGCCUGGAGUUCAAAUGCUUGGCGUGGCCAGGCAAGGCAUUCUUAGAUCAUCAAUACCCAUACUUUCUCACAGACUUUCAGAUAAUUUGUCAAUUUAAAACUCUGACAUUGUUAUGAGUGCACUUUCAUUGUUUUGCGUUUUAAAAUAAUUCUUAUUCAUCGACACCUUACCUGGUCACGCCAAGCAUUUGACUUCCAGGCCGCGGAAAUCUAGACAAAUCAUCUGGCAGCUUAUUUCGAUUUCACAUCUCUUUCUAUUUUCUUGUAGUUUUUUAUGGGGAUCUUCUAUUUUUCAAUAACUCCUUGGGUCCUCCACUUUUUCAUGUACUUGGCGUAAUUUUUUUACUUUUUUGAAGUCUUUUAUCGGAUCUCACUUCUUUUUACAAAUAAUUUAUUAUAUAGAAUCUAUUUUAAAUUUAUAAAAAUAAAAUUGAUAUUUCUGUAAACUCUACAUAAGAA